RNAcentral lists this ribosomal RNA (500 nucleotides) under uncultured bacterium. RNAcentral's name for it is "partial 16S ribosomal RNA". It matches the Rfam family "Bacterial small subunit ribosomal RNA", at positions 30 to 523 of the family's 1533-position model. The record is from RNAcentral.
AUUGAACGCUGGCGGCAUGCCUUACACAUGCAAGUCGAACGGCAGCACGGGAGCAAUCCUGGUGGCGAGUGGCGAACGGGUGAGUAAUAUAUCGGAACGUGCCCAGUCGUGGGGGAUAACGUAGCGAAAGCUACGCUAAUACCGCAUACGAUCUAUGGAUGAAAGCGGGGGAUCGCAAGACCUCGCGCGAUUGGAGCGGCCGAUAUCAGAUUAGGUAGUUGGUGAGGUAAAGGCUCACCAAGCCGACGAUCUGUAGCUGGUCGGAGAGGACGACCAGCCACACUGGGACUGAGACACGGCCCAGACUCCUACGGGAGGCAGCAGUGGGGAAUUUUGGACAAUGGGCGCAAGCCUGAUCCAGCAAUGCCGCGUGCAGGAUGAAGGCCUUCGGGUUGUAAACUGCUUUUGUACGGAGCGAAAAGGCUUCCACUAAUACUGGGGGCUCAUGACGGUACCGUAAGAAUAAGCACCGGCUAACUACGUGCCAGCAGCCGCCGUAA